RNAcentral lists this ribosomal RNA (511 nucleotides) under uncultured bacterium. RNAcentral describes it as "bacterial SSU rRNA". It matches the Rfam family "Bacterial small subunit ribosomal RNA", at positions 29 to 523 of the family's 1533-position model. The record is from RNAcentral.
AUUGAACGCUGGCGGAAUGCUUUACACAUGCAAGUCGAGCGGCAGCGCGGGGCAACCUGGCGGCGAGCGGCGAACGGGUGAGUAAUGCAUCGGAACAUGUCCAUGUCGUGGGGGAUAGCCCGGCGAAAGCCGGAUUAAUACCGCAUACGCUCGAGAGAGGAAAGCCGGGGACCGCAAGGCCUGGCGCGAUUGGGUUGGCCGAUGUCCGAUUAGCUAGUUGGUGAGGUAAAGGCUUACCAAGGCGAUGAUCGGUAGCUGGUCUGAGAGGAUGAUCAGCCACACUGGGACUGAGACACGGCCCAGACUCCUACGGGAGGCAGCAGUGGGGAAUUUUGGACAAUGGGGGGCAACCCUGAUCCAGCCAUGCCGCGUGAGUGAAGAAGGCCUCGGUUGUUAAAGGACUCUUUCGGUCCGGGAAGGAAAGUACGCAUGGGUUAAUACCCUGUGUGGAUGACGGUACCGGCGAUAAAGAAGGACACCGGACUAACUACGUAGCCAGCAGCCGCGGUAA